UUCCAUAUGUUCUAGUGGUUAGGAUUUGGCGCUCUGACCGCCAAAGCCCGGGUUCGAUUCCUGGUGUGGGAA
Molecule: non-coding RNA, 72 nt
Organism: Branchiostoma floridae (Florida lancelet)
Lineage: Eukaryota; Metazoa; Chordata; Leptocardii; Amphioxiformes; Branchiostomatidae
Source: Rfam